GCGCCCAUAGUUCAACGGAUAGAACACCAGCCUUCUAAGCUGGUUAUGGGGGUUCGAUUCCCUCUGGGCGCACUA
This 75-nucleotide transfer RNA is filed under the name Candidatus Falkowiibacteriota bacterium. RNAcentral's name for it is "tRNA-Arg". It matches the Rfam family "tRNA". From Rfam's summary of the family: Transfer RNA (tRNA) molecules are approximately 80 nucleotides in length. Their secondary structure includes four short double-helical elements and three loops (D, anti-codon, and T loops). Lineage: Bacteria; Candidatus Falkowiibacteriota. The record is from RNAcentral.